AGGAUAUUGUUGUCAGCGCGCAAUUCCACUGGACUGGCAACGCUUAUCCAUAUACUACCACACGAAUAAACAGCACUACCUUCGAUAGUAGGUAGACACAGCGAACUGUCAGGGAGAUGCGGGAAGAUGAUAAGGGAUAAUUGAUGAAAUGUUAUUGCUAUUGCGGCCUAAACGAACACACUAUUUUGUUAAAAUUUGUUUCUCUAAAAACUACAUGAAAUGUUAGUGAAUUCUUAAUCUAGUGUUAGUCAAAGUUAAAACCUAAAUACCUAUCAUUCGUUAGUACGCUUAACCUACACGAACCACUCCCGAUUGAUUACGGAUUAAAUUGAUCCCCAAUUACACGAAUAAUUAGUUGGUAUCCCAUGCAACAUUUACCGUCAGAGCAUCAAUUGCCGUCUGACUCCGAGCGAAUAGUAAACGUGAGUAGAAGUCUUGUAUACUUAUGUAAACAUGGAAAAAUUCAGUUAAAUCGUAUAUUCUAUUUACCCAGGAAUUUUAUAAUCCACCUUGGAUUCGAAUAAACGGAUUAUAAAAACGGAAUCUGCUCUUUGUUGUAUGGUGAGUCAA
This is a long non-coding RNA of Aedes albopictus (Asian tiger mosquito), 570 nucleotides long. RefSeq lists it as uncharacterized. The transcript has 3 exons. The record is from RefSeq and is a predicted model, not a curated record. Lineage: Eukaryota; Metazoa; Arthropoda; Insecta; Diptera; Culicidae.